UUCUACACUCUACAAUCUAAAAACUUCAAAAUUCCCGCCUUGAGAAAACUUUUCACACAAAAAACUCUGCAAAUCUCCACCAAAAGGGAAAAAAAACCCUAAAUCCCAAAAUUCACCGGAAAAUUGACGAAAUCUCGCCGUCGACACCGAAUGGUGUCAUCUUGGCAGAUAUUUUCCGACGCCGGAGAUAAUUUCCGGUGGGAAAUAUCUCCAAUUUCUAAACCUUCUCAUCAAGAUAAUCAACUUCACUAUUCUCCUCCUCCUACUACUCUCCCUUCAUUCCAUGAUGUUUUGGUUCAAGGUUGUUCGAAGAUUUUGGAGGAUUGUGAUAAACGAAAUGUUGAUGAUGAUAUUCCGAUGUUUCGAACUGGAUUCGGAAGCUCUGUUGUUAUAAAGAAGUCGUCGAUUGCUAAAGCUUCUGCUGUUCUUGGAGAUGAUUGUAUCAGUAAAUUUGACACAGGGAAACCAUGUUAUAAAGGAAAUGGGUUCAGUUCUCCAAAUUCCAUGUUUCAAACGGGCUCUGGGAAGACAGUCAAUAUAUCUUCAACUGGACUUCUUAGAGCUAGAGCAUUGUUGGGUGUCGACGAAAGUAAUGAAGAAUGCACCAUCCAAGGCUUUGAGCCUGCAAAGAAGAAAUUUCGUGGAGUGGACAAGUCUACAUUUGAGAAAAGAUUCCAUUUACAGAAAACACAGAUGGGGAUCAACAGUAUGGGAACUGAGAAUGAUACACUCUGUGCAAAGGUUCCAUUCCAUUUGAAGGGUGAUUCACCAGGAACUGAGUUGGUUGAGGAAGAUGUUGGUGAAAUUCUACGACCAGAGGUGUCUAAUUCUACUACCAAACAGUCUGCAGUUAAGUUCCAGACUGCAGGUGGUAGAUCUGUUUCAGUUUCGAGGGAUGCUUUGCAGCGAGCAAAAAACCUUCUUGGUGACCCAGACAUGGACAGUCUUUUAAACGAGGGAGAUGCAGGUGCUUCCAUGUUUUCAUUUAUGAAGUAUAGCAAUUCUGAUGGGAGCCUCUUUAACAAAGAGAACAAGACUGAUUCUUCUCAUCAAUUUGAAGAAAAUCCAAAAAUCUUUGUAUCACCAAUGAAGUCAUCUUCUAGCAGAAAGUCAUCAGAAGCCAAAUCAGAGACAUUGAUCUCAGGGACCAAUUUGAUGGGGAAAUUUGAUGCUGAGGAAAGCAUCUGUAAAUCAAAUGGUAAACUAUCCUCAUAUUGUCCAACAAAGAGUUUGCAAGCAAAGCCCCUUGUUCCUGAUACAGUACUGCAGCACUCUAUGGGAAUUGGUUCAGGUCCAGGUUUCCAUAGAUUCUCAAAGCCAUCCGGGGGGCCACUUGUUGAUAUUACAAACACCAGAGGCAUUGACUCUUCAACUAAGAAAGGAACAACCGCUGAGAUAAGGAGAUUUGGGACAAGAACUUCUGCCUCUCCAUUCAAGAUGCCAAGAAGUUCAAAGUUCAUUACUCCUUUAAACUGUAACCUUUCCUCGGCGCCUAACGGAUUUCCCAACAUGGAACCCGAGGCUUCAAAUUCUAAAAAAAGGGUUUGUACCCGUUAUCCAUUUCAGCUUCCAAGAUUAUAUGUCAAGGAGUUUUUUAAAGAGCCUCCGAUCUAUCCAGAAAUGCUGGAGCAUUUAUCAGAGCAAGUACGGCAGAUAACUUCUCGAGCUUCAGAGAAAUACAUAUUUUGUGAUGGAUCCCAGCCAAUUGGUGCUGAAAAUUUAUAUCAUAUGCUGGUUCAGUCGGGAGCUUCCGUGCAACAUGCAUCAAAAGAGUGGGUUGCAAAUCAUUGCAAGUGGAUUGUGUGGAAACUUGCAAGCUAUGAUAGGUGUUAUUCAUCUAAAUUUAUGAUGAGAUUUUUAACUGUUUCAAAUGUGCUUGAGGAAUUAAGAUAUAGAUAUGAACGUGAAGUUAAUCAUGGUCAGCGUUCUGCAAUUAAGAGAAUUUUAGAAGGAGACGCAUCACCUUCUUCCAUGCUGGUGCUAUGUGUCUCUGAGAUUGAGAAUCUCAGUACAAGUAUGGCUGAAAAUAGUAACAAUUCCAGAAUAGAACUGACUGAUGGGUGGUACUCAGUAUGUGCCCAGUUGGAUGUCUUGCUAUCAAAGCAACUUGCUGCAGGAAAGUUAUUUGUGGGACAAAAACUACGGAUAUGUGGAGCUGGUUUAAUUGGCUGGGAUGGACCUGUAUCUCCCCUCAAGGCAUCACCAACGAUUAGUUUAAUGCUGCAUAUAAAUGGGACGUACAGAGUUAGCUGGCAUGAACGUUUAGGAUUCUGUAGAGGGGCAUGCGCACCUUUGGCAUUUAGAUGCAUCAAGGGUAAGGGAGGUCUAAUCCCUAGGACCCUAGUUGGAGUUACCAGGAUAUAUCCUGUCCUUUACAAGGAAAGGUUGAAGAGUGGAGGAUGUAUUGUGAGGUCCGAGAAGAUGGAGGCUUCACUUACCCAGCUUUACAACCAGAGGCGGACUAACAUCAUAGAAGGAAUGACGUCAGACUUCCAGAGAGGUCUGGUCGGUUCUUGUACAGAGAAUGACUAUGACAAUGAAGGAGCAAAUAUCCUGAAGAUGCUUGAGAGUGCUGCUGAACCAGAACUGUUGAUGGCAGAAAUGAGCUCUGAGCAGCUAGCAGCAUUCUCCAAGUAUCGAGCAAAAGUGGAGGAAACCAGGCAGUGCAACAUGCAGAGAUUGAUCGAGAAAGCACUUGAAGAUGCAGGAUUAAGUGCUAGAGAAGUCACGCCAUUUAUGCGAGUAAGGGUUGUUGGACUAAGAAGUAGAGGACAGUAUGCAAGUGAAGUUCUAAGAGAAGGAUUAAUUACAAUUUGGAAUCCUACUGAACAGCAGAAACUUGAGCUGGUAGAGGGGGAGGCUUAUGCUAUCUCAGGUCUCAUACCGCUGCAUUCUGAUUCAACUACACUCUAUCUUCAAGCUAAAGGAUCAAGCAUUAAAUGGAAGCCUUUGACUAUAAAAGAGAAGGAAUCUUUUGGGCCCUUCUUCAAUCCUCGCAAGCGGAUAUCAUUAUCAAGAAUGGGAGAGGUUCCUUUGUCCAGUGAAUUUGAUACUGCUGUGUUAGUUUUACACGUGGGCCUGGAGUACAUAUCUGGUCAGCAGAAGAGACAAUGGGUGUUUGUUACUGAUGGAACCUUGUGCGAGUUACAAACAGAAGUAUCAACAAUCUCCUUGUUGGCUAUUAGCUUCUGUUCCCCUUGCAGUGAUGAUGAUUCAACAUCUCCAAUUAACCAUAACCUUCUUGGCAGCAUAAUUGGCUUUUGUAAUCUUGUGAAGAGAGCUAAGGAUCACGUGAACCAUAUGUGGGUAGCAGAAGCUACUGAAAAUUCAACAUAUUACCUUAAAUAUGAUCAUCAUUAUUGCUCCCAUCUCAAAGAUGCCUUUGCUCGUGUUAAGAAAUGGGAGCAGAGUGCUAGUUUGACGAUUGAGAAGCUGAGGGAGAAGGUUUUGCAUAUAGUUGGUGGCCCUAAAGGCUAGUACAUCAAGAUGGUUACCUGACUGUCGUGUAAGUUGAAAUGUUGGCUGUUAUCAGUUUUCAAAAUAUAGCCAAGGGGAAGGGUAUAGUUUCCAGAGGCUUUCUGACCAGAAAUUCACGAGGAAUAGGGGAACUUCUGCACAAGUAUUAACAGGAGCUGAACUCAAUGUUCCAGUAUGAGCUUUUGCAAGUCCUAAAUUUUUGCACGAGUAUUAACAGGAGCUGAACUCAAUGUUCCAGUAUGAGGUUUUGGAAGUCCUAAAUUACUUCCGCUUAUACUAAUGCUCUGACAUUUACAUGGAGCAUCCAUACAUCAUAUGAAAUAUAUGAAGCAUGCAUUCUAGUAGCUCCAAUCAUUACAAGAGGGUAUAUGUAAAUCUGUCCCAGGUCCUGUAUUCUCCAAGCCACCUCCCAUAGGCUGCAACACAUUGUUACUCAACCUGCUGGCUGACUAUUGUUACUCUCCUUCAACAUGGCCAAGCGCCAAACAGUUUACGGGGGAUAACAAGCAUCUAAGUCUAACAGAGACAUGAAAGUUUGUGCUAAGAUCAUGUUCAUAUGGCGAUGGUAUUAGUAACAACCUUUAUGCGACAUAGUUGACACUAUUAAGUGAGGUCUGUCCGUGUCCUACUACACCGGAGUAUUGUCUUGCUGGUUGACUUUGUAUAGAGGCAAGGAAUCAUGCUGGCGGACUUGUUGCAGGACAAUGCCAAAUUUGUAUAGUAAAGUAAGGCUGAUGAGGUAUUUAAUGUAAACAAAAAUAUGUAGUUGUGUAUAUUCAGCAUGUUGUUAGCAGCCCCCUCCCUGCCACAACGAAAGGUAGAUAUUGAAAAGAACAGUUUACACUUAAGAAUUAGGAUGGAGCAUUUUGCAAAGAAUUGUGAAAAUUUUGAUUUCAGAUUGCAAUUAUUGAAGUUAAAAUAGGAAAUGUAUAGAUGAGUCAGAAAAUGUUUCCUAUUAUAUUGAUUUUUAUGUUUAUAUGUUGUACA
RNA transcript from Beta vulgaris subsp. vulgaris (sugar beet), 4464 nucleotides. It is a transcript of the gene named protein BREAST CANCER SUSCEPTIBILITY 2 homolog B, with no coding region annotated. The transcript is spliced from 19 exons. The record is from RefSeq and is a predicted model, not a curated record. NCBI's taxonomy places the organism in Eukaryota, Viridiplantae, Streptophyta, Magnoliopsida, Caryophyllales, Amaranthaceae.